RNAcentral lists this ribosomal RNA (654 nucleotides) under Escherichia coli. RNAcentral describes it as "partial 23S ribosomal RNA". It matches the Rfam family "Bacterial large subunit ribosomal RNA", at positions 2251 to 2899 of the family's 2925-position model. The record is from RNAcentral. Lineage: Bacteria; Pseudomonadati; Pseudomonadota; Gammaproteobacteria; Enterobacterales; Enterobacteriaceae.
ACAGUGUCUGGUGGGUAGUUUGACUGGGGCGGUCUCCUCCUAAAGAGUAACGGAGGAGCACGAAGGUUGGCUAAUCCUGGUCGGACAUCAGGAGGUUAGUGCAAUGGCAUAAGCCAGCUUGACUGCGAGCGUGACGGCGCGAGCAGGUGCGAAAGCAGGUCAUAGUGAUCCGGUGGUUCUGAAUGGAAGGGCCAUCGCUCAACGGAUAAAAGGUACUCCGGGGAUAACAGGCUGAUACCGCCCAAGAGUUCAUAUCGACGGCGGUGUUUGGCACCUCGAUGUCGGCUCAUCACAUCCUGGGGCUGAAGUAGGUCCCAAGGGUAUGGCUGUUCGCCAUUUAAAGUGGUACGCGAGCUGGGUUUAGAACGUCGUGAGACAGUUCGGUCCCUAUCUGCCGUGGGCGCUGGAGAAUUGAGGGGGGCUGCUCCUAGUACGAGAGGACCGGAGUGGACGCAUCACUGGUGUUCGGGUUGUCAUGCCAAUGGCACUGCCCGGUAGCUAAAUGCGGAAGAGAUAAGUGCUGAAAGCAUCUAAGCACGAAACUUGCCCCGAGAUGAGUUCUCCCUGACCCUUUAAGGGUCCUGAAGGAACGUUGAAGACGACGACGUUGAUAGGCCGGGUGUGUAAGCGCAGCGAUGCGUUGAGCUAACCGGU